UAGGGAAUCUUCCGCAAUGGGCGAAAGCCUGACGGAGCAACGCCGCGUGAGUGAUGAAGGUCUUCGGAUCGUAAAACUCUGUUAUUAGGGAAGAACAAAUGUGUAAGUAACUAUGCACGUCUUGACGGUACCUAAUCAGAAAGCCACGGCUAACUACGUGCCAGCAGCCGCGGUAAUACGUAGGUGGCAAGCGUUAUCCGGAAUUAUUGGGCGUAAAGCGCGCGUAGGCGGUUUUUUAAGUCUGAUGUGAAAGCCCACGGCUCAACCGUGGAGGGUCAUUGGAAACUGGAAAACUUGAGUGCAGAAGAGGAAAGUGGAAUUCCAUGUGUAGCGGUGAAAUGCGCAGAGAUAUGGAGGAACACCAGUGGCGAAGGCGAUUUUCUGGUCUGUAACUGACGCUGAUGUGCGAAAGCGUGGGGAUCAAACAGG
This 429-nucleotide ribosomal RNA is filed under the name Actinomycetes bacterium. RNAcentral's name for it is "Actinobacteria bacterium partial 16S ribosomal RNA". It matches the Rfam family "Bacterial small subunit ribosomal RNA", at positions 355 to 776 of the family's 1533-position model. Lineage: Bacteria; Bacillati; Actinomycetota; Actinomycetes. The record is from RNAcentral.